RNAcentral lists this long non-coding RNA (1407 nucleotides) under Daucus carota (carrot). RNAcentral's name for it is "long non-coding RNA (DCAR_LNC000379)". The record is from RNAcentral. Lineage: Eukaryota; Viridiplantae; Streptophyta; Magnoliopsida; Apiales; Apiaceae.
GUGAAGCAUAUCCUACAAGCACUGCAUGCAAUUUUUUCAAAAAGAUAACAGAAUUCAUAUUUUUGAGAAUCAAAAGAAAUUUAGAUGGGUUGAUAAAAGGCAGGGAAACUAACAGUUGGACCAGCAAGCAAGGAUGUCCCAGAAUCUACAAUAGCAGAACAACCUCCAUCACAAUAGCCUGAGGGGAAAACAUAGGAGACUCAUAAUCUGUUUCCCAACUAAGUCUAAGGUAAUGAAACAAAUAUAGAAAUUAAUUGACUUUUGUGCUCUUGACAUUUACACUAAAAUAAAUUUACAGCUUAUUAAAAUGCCUGAAAAUUUAUUGACUAGAUUAGACUGUAUUAUUAUGUUUGGUUUAGAUCACUUAUUCAAUCUUUCUAAAUUGGUCAUAAACAUGGCUGAUAAUGUUUACUUCUCAUGCUGCUUGUGACCAAAACAUCUUCAGGAAAAAGACUAGUAGCAAAGUAAGGAUAGAAAAGUGUAUGCUACAAACUAACUAUUUUUAUGUUAGAUGCAUUGAAAAUCACUACUAUAUUUGCUGGAAAAGACAUAGACCAUUGGUUUCUUGGUUGACUGAAACAACCUUAGUUCUUUAAUUUUGGUUGCAAUAUUCUACUGUUCUUUUAGUACCUAGAGUUAGAAAAUCUCAUGUGUCAUGUGUAAGGAAUCAAGAUAUUUGAAUGCUCCUUCUGAAGCACUCAUGAAUUUCAAUCCGGGGGGUUUCAACGUGUCCAACCUUUUACUGAAAUUUCGAUGUCAGUACAUAUAUAAGCAAGAAAUAUAGUGAUUGCCACUCUAAAAACACUGUAAUUGUUAAAACAUCAGACGGGAAAAACCCGCUCAGAGAUGUUUGCAUCAAUUGCUUGUCAGGGACCCGGACCCAUCUUAUGAUACGUUACAAAAAAGUAGUCCUCAUAAAGAGAAGAUCUUUCAGGGAAGAAGGCUGCAAUAGUCUGCAAACAAACCAAUCAUUUUAAUGGAGUAUAAAAUCGAGUUUCUUGUAAAUGAUUCCAUUGUUGCUGUGAAAUCAAGUUAUUGAUUAAAAAUGCAGAAAAUAGCAUAACUUUACAGUUUGCAAGCACGUUGUUCUCACACGUAAACCUACCUAGUUAACUCACAUCUUUGUUUUCUGCAACUAAUUAGUAGUUUAUCAAAGAAACAAGAGAAGAAAUUUGAAAAAGUUGAAGGUGGAAUCACAAGAAGAAACAAGGAAAGGUGGGGGUGUUGGAUCCAGAUGCCAUAGAUUUGAUGAAAAUAGCACCAAAUACAAAGGUCGGAGCUAAAUGCAAAUCAGUUUUGCUUAAUGCAAUUCGCACAAAUUACUCUCCUAGCCUUUUAGUACAGUCAAUACGUAUUAAAUGCUGAAUGUGAGUGGGGGUAUAUUAGAGGCGCUUAGGUGAUUACGAG